Molecule: transfer RNA, 65 nt
Filed under: Leptestheria brevirostris
Lineage: Eukaryota; Metazoa; Arthropoda; Branchiopoda; Diplostraca; Leptestheriidae
Description: tRNA-Ser
Source: RNAcentral
AAGAUAGAAGCUAAGAGAAGGGCUGCUAACCUUUUUCUGAGCGGUUAAACUCCGUUCAUGUCUUU